CGAGCGAGCAAAAAUUUGUCUCGAGCGAGCAAAAGUUUGUCUCCGCGAGGUAUUUGCUCGCUUGUGAAACGUGAACUUCGUUGCUCGUGAGGAGAAUCUCUGCUCGCGCUCGAAGUAGUUUUCUACGCGCUCGCUGUUGUUCUUUUUGACAGUAAGGUGGAGACGGUGCUUUCAGGGUCCGGUCGAUGAGAGGCACAAAAUCUUAAUUUCCACCAGGCUGAUUGCAUUGUAUAUGGUUGAUUUAACAGAAUUUAGGGAGUGUGUUAUUUAUUUCAAACCGUGCUCUGCUGAGAGUUUUUAUUAUUUUGAUUUAAUUUCUUUUACUUUUAGCCUACUUUUAUUUUCUGUCUUUGCACUGCUGACUAGCCUGAAUAAAAUAGACAGGUUAUUGUCUAUGCUGGUUUGUCUAGCCUUUAUUGAGCUCUGUUGGUUGAGCAUGAUGUUUAGACAGUGUUUUGUUAUUGUCUUUGCCGAAUAUUGCAAAAUAAAGGUGUAACUGUUUUUGCAAUUUAGCUACUCUCUUUUCUACUCUCUAAGGUUUAAUUAUUAUUUAAGUAAUUUUUUUUCUACAAAAAACUAGGCCCACCCACUUUUUCACUGGCCCGCCCAAAAUACAAUUUCUGCCUAAGCCCCUGCUGCUCGCGCACAAAGGAGUUUUCUACGCGCUCGCUGUUGUUCUUUUUGACAGUAAGGUGGAGACGGUGCUUUCGGGGUCCGAUCAAUGCUGCGAGGUGGGUCUGGAUUAGGAUUGAAGGAUUAGGGAUGAAUGAGGUUCAUACAUUUUGUUCGUCCGGCGGUGCUGCAGCUUCAUUAUGCUACUUGAUAUUGUGCUUUGCUCCACGCUUUGCUCCCCCCCUCCAAGUUCUUACACCUGCUUUAGCUUUGUUUUUUUUGUCUUCGACACUGGGUUGUCCCCCAAUAGUUUUGUUUGCGUUUCAGAACGUUAACUUUACACACUCUUUGUUGUCAUUGUGGACAGUGAGGAAGUUAUGUAACGGAGGUGUCAUAAAACUCUGCACUGUUUGAGAAGAAAACGCCAGGUCUCUGAACUUAAGAAAGAACAGCCAAGGCCCUUGAGUUUUUACUACACGAGCCAGACGCGCAGGUUCAGAUGCUCGCAGUUUGUUUUAUGAUGUCAGGCCUUAAACUGCAGAUACUUCAGCUGAGCUCGCAGGGGCAUAAUCUCCAGCUGGAAAGCUUUCUCGGGCCCUGGUGUUGCCCUUCACCUGGGUGAGGCGUGGAAAGUUGGCAGGAGACUGGAGUUUCAGCAACAUCAAUACUCUUCCUGCCACCAGGUUUGUUUUAUGUCUCUCUGCGUCGGCGGGCACUUGAGGGGUGGACAAUUUGUUUAGGCAGCUGAAGAUGGAACUGUGUGUAGCGGAGGAUUAUGAGAUCGCCGGGUGAUUUGUGGGUGGGAUCUUCUCAGAGGCCCCCGGCUGAAAUAUCCAACACUUGCUUUGGUGUUAAAUUAUGAUACCUAAACCAUAAAUAUUCUGCAUUAAGACCCCCAGCGUUCCACGUUUGAGAACAGAUAGUUUGUCUUUCUGUUCUUACUCCCCCCGUGAGUGGCUGAAUUUGUCCCACAUUCCUUUGUGAAAAACACUUAAUGAGUCAGUGAAACCAGGGAUUUUAUUCUUCCUCUGUUGCGCACACAUCUUCGCAGCGCGGUUUACAUCUUAAUAAUGUACUCCAGACCAUAAUUUAAUUCACCACAGCAGUGUGAAACACACACCGAGAAGGAAUCUCGCCACAGCAAAAAUUGGAGUGUUGAAAUUUCAGGGUUAAAAAUUUCCGAGUUGAUUUUCACUCCCUGAGUGUAAUUUUAACACAUUCUGAUUUAAAUGGUGUUCAGUGUUGGAGUUAUUUGGCAGAGUUGAUCAUGUCAGUGUUAACCCAACUCCGCAGAGACGUAAUUAAGCUCCGCCCACGCCUUUCACCUCUUCGGUUAGAGACAGAGAAGACAAGUCUGCGCCAUUUUCUACCUCUCAUGCAGUACUACACGUCAUGGAGAGAUUUGGCCUGCCACCUGAUGCAAAUGUUAUAUACAAGGAUGCAACAGGGACAGAAGUUGAUGCAGAAAUAUUCAGCGACCUCGUUGGACAAGGCAAUGUGGUCCUGACAGUUUUCUCAGAUCAGGAAUUCUCUGAUUUCUCCUUGUCUUCUGAGACGUCUGACUCAAGCUUCAGCUCAAGUGCAUCAACUAUAAUCCUAGAUGUUCCGAACAAGAGACAAAGAAUUGAGGAUACACGUGAUGCUGUGUCUGCUAAACAGUUGAUAGAAGCUGUGCUAAGAGGCAAGUCCGGAGGUGAAGAAGUACUACAGGAGUACCAAACAACAGAAACCCAGAUGCUGCAAGAAGACAAAUGGUUAAUAUCCUGGUGGCUCACAUGAUUGACAAUCAUGGGCACUAAAACAAUCAGAGAAGAUUAUGCACGUGGGAUAGUGAUGCUGUUCCCUUCCCUUAAGGAUCCAUACUCCAAGAAGGGCUAUGUAAUAGGCAUUAUUAUUGUUUAAACUUCCAUGUCAUGUUGUGACCCAAAACUGUGUGGAUGACAUUGAUAUUUGAAUUCCGUGAGAUUUCUCAUGAGCCUGGUAUUACAACACAUUUCUUUUUUCAUUUCAGGAACACUUCUAUGAUGCUGCAAGCAGCACAGGAUACAUUUCUUGGCGUCUGAAAACAGUCCAGAGGAAGAUUCGUCAAGUAUCUGCACAGCCACCAAAAAGCCCAAUUGACUUUUCUCCAGUAGGCCCAAAUUGCCAAAGGACUGUUAAUGUUGAAGGGCAGCUUGAUGGUGAUGCUUGCCAAGAGGCCAUGUCUUUGCUUAACCAUGCAGCAGACAAUUCCCUGAUUUUCCAGAAGAUGAGAGAGACCUUUCAGCAUCGUCAGAAGCUUGUUAAUGACCCAGGCAGAAGUGUUGAUAUACUCUCCAACUUCCCAAGAUUUCUGGAUACAAAAGGAUUGGUGGAACAAGACUUCACUCUCCUAUUUGACGAAGACACAUCAUCCAGGCUUCUUCAGAAAUGGGAUUUGUUCUUCAAGCCAAAUGUCAUUAAAGAGGCUAAGCGGCUCACCUCAACACCAGAGUUGCGUCGCUUGGUGCAGUCAGCAGAAAGUCCCCCAGGAAGUGAUCUUGAUGAGGCAACAACCUACGACCAAGAAAUGGCCUCCCUGUUGUUGCUGUUACAUCUCCUUCCACCACCUCCAGGGGGACUGAAGUCUCCAAAAAUUAGUGCAUGUGAUGCAGUUGAAAGACUUGUUGUCUUUCAUAAGUCAUGCUGCAGUUUGGAGGAGCAUCUCCGCAACCAGCAGGGUCGGCAGCCGUACCUCCUCGCUGUUGGGCGUCAGAAGAGCAAGAUUGACAGCUUCUACGUCACCAUGGAUAAGCGUCUCAUCCCAUGCAAGGCAAACCGCUCCCUCGGGGCAUGUGAUGAACUUUUCAAAGCACAUUAAAUUUGUCUUACGAUGUGGCACUUGUGAAUUUUUAUACAUUCCUGCAGACAACAGUGUAUAACAUUGAUGUGGGGAAAAUGAAGGAGUCACCCAGAGUUAAAGACUUGAGAGCAAGACUGCUUAACCAGCAAGUAGCAUUCUCACCCUGUGAGUAAGAAGCUAUAACAAUGCUGACCUGUUUCAUGUGUCAGAAAAAUUAUCCCAGCAGUCAGCAGUUGAUUUCACAUUUAAGAGUUGAACAUGGUUACUAUCCUGGACCCAAGUUCAAAUUGUUUUGUUCUCAGCAAUGCUGUAGGCAUCAGUUCCUAACAUAUGCAGGUUUUCGAAAGCACCGUAAUAGUGUUCAGAGCAUUUUUCAGCAAACUCAAACUUCAACUGUUGCAUGUUCAUCUAGUGAGCCAGUUGCAACUUCAUCUCAGGCACAUACUUUGGAGGACCAAUUUAUUCCACAAAAUCAAUGUAGUUCUUCCAGUAUUUCUUCUGAGGCCAAUGAUUCAGGACUUACUAAAGAUCCAACUAAAGAAAUGUGUGCAUCCAUCGUGGCCAAAUUACAGGGGAGUGGGAUAUCCAACAGUUUGGUAUCCUCAAUUGUAGGAGAUUUGGAAGAACUAACGAGUGAACUUCGCUCACAAGCAAAGCAUACAGCUAUUUCUGCUUUACCUAUAACUGACCCCAACAUAUCUGUGAUAAAUGAAUCUUUUGAAGAUUAUGAAAAUCCGUUUUCAAAUCUGAACACAGAAUGGAAACGAAAUAAAUACUUCCACCAAAAAUGGGGAGUUGUUGAGCCAGUAGAAAUAACACUGGGAGUGAGAUAUGACAACAGGCGAAAUCAGAAAUCCGGUACUUAUGAUCAAGUACCUGUGAAGGAUACUUUUAUCUAUGUGCCAAUUUUAGAAACAUUGAAGUUCAUGUGCAGAAAUCCAGACAUUUGUGUUUUGCUAAAGAAGGAGUGUAGAUCAGAGCCUGACACUUAUACUGACUUUUUUGGUGGAAGUUAUUUUAAAACCCACCCUUUGUUUACAGCUAAUAAACAUGCAUUGCAAAUUCAACUAUACUAUGACGAUUUUGAAACAGCCAAUCCCCUUGGCUCCAAACGUGGAAUACACAAAAUUGGCUGUCUUUAUUUUGUUGUAAGAAAUUUGCCCCCAAAAUUUAAUUCGGUUUUGAUGAACAUUCAUUUGGUAUCACUUUUUCACACACAAGAUCUGCGCAAGUAUGGUUUUGAUGUUAUACUAGAACCGUUGAUAAAUGAUGUGAAAAAACUAGAAAGCCAAGGGCUAAGUCUUCCAUUUGUAGAUGAGCAGGUAUAUGGUACAAUCUGUCAGAUUACUGGAGAUAAUCUAGGGAUGCACACAAUUCUUGGUUUUAAUGAGUCAUUUAGUAGCCGUCAUUUCUGUUGCCUUUGUUUGAUUGAGAAGAAUGAUUGUCAAACGGUAUACAGUGAGGAUGAUCCUAAAGUGAUCCUUCGUGGAAAAGAUAUGUUUGAUAUGCAUUGCCAGUCUCUCCAGGAAAACCCACAAUUUAAGUCACUUUAUGGUUUGAAAAAAAGAUCUGCACUUAAUUCAUUGAAGUAUUUCCAUGUUUGCAAUAACUAUUCAUUUGAUAUCAUGCAUGAUCUUCUUGAGGGUGUGGUUCAGUAUGAGAUCAAAUUGCUUUUUGGAUAUCUCACACAACACUUUAUGUCAGAACAAGACUUGCUUUCCAGGAUUUAUGGUUUUGAUUAUGGAUUUUUAGAACGAAAAAAAUCGUCCUACAAAGAUUAUUUUGGAGAGUGCUGGCAAUGGCAUUGGUUUGAAUUCUAUUCAGACAUUGUGUCUUGUGAAAAACAUCCCACUGUUGUUUGGUGAAAUUAUUCCUGCAGGAAACAAAAACUGGAAUUGGUUACUGUUGUCAAAUAAUGAACAUAGUUUUUUCACCUUCUCUCACUCUAGGUAUGACAAUAUAUUUAAAGCAUUUGAUUGUUGACCACCACAAACUAUUUAAGCACUUGUAUCCACAUAGAAACGUGAUACCUAAGCAUCAUUUUAUGAUCCAUUACCCAUCUUCUAUAAGGAAAAUUGGCCCCUUAUUAUAUACGUGGUGUAUGAGGUUUGAGGCCAAACACAAGCUGUUUAAAGAUUCUUUAAAAAAUUUCAAAAACAUAACCAAAUCGCUUGCUAUAAAGCAUCAGAUGGCCAUUGCUUAUCACUGGGAAACCUUCACCCUCAAAAAAAAUGAGUAUGGGCCCAUUAAAUCUUUUCUCUUCAGAGAUGAGAAUGUGGUCAACAAUGAAAUGCUUGAAACAAUCUUGUCAAAAGAUGUUUUCUCAACUAGUUGGGUUAAAGUUGAUGGUGUAGAGUAUAAAGCUGGACUAGUUAUUUGCAGUGCAAUGGAAGAAGACAUGCCAGUCUUUUGUCAAAUAAGUGAUGUACUUUUGGUUGAAGAUCACUUAUUUUUUUUGACAAACAAGCUAUUUACAGAGAAUUUUGAUGACCAUCAUCAUGCAUUCAGAGUAUUACGAAGUGCGGAAAGAUGUUUACUAAAAAUGUCUUAGCUUAAAUUUCAAAAACCGUUUGAUAUUCAAAGCUCAUACAAUGUUUCGGAUGAAAGUUUGUACAUUAUACCUUCAUUCACAAUGUUUUAAUUCAACUGACUGCAAG
Molecule: long non-coding RNA, 6090 nt
Organism: Gasterosteus aculeatus aculeatus (three-spined stickleback)
Lineage: Eukaryota; Metazoa; Chordata; Actinopteri; Perciformes; Gasterosteidae
Source: Ensembl